This 196-nucleotide non-coding RNA is filed under the name Amorphochlora amoebiformis. Lineage: Eukaryota; Cercozoa; Chlorarachniophyceae. The record is from RNAcentral.
AUUAAACGACCGAGGAAUAUAGAAAAACCGAAAAAAAAAAAACGGAAAUAACAUUAGCAAAAUUCUAUUUUCCAGACUUCCUCUUCCUAUUUCUUUUUAUUUCUUUUUUUCAAUUUUUUCUUUUUCUAUCUUCUCAGAUCCCAAAAAAAAGAAAGAGGGGCAUCAGCAGAAGCGAAAAAAUAAAUAUGAAAAAAAA